This 1867-nucleotide long non-coding RNA is filed under the name Mus musculus (house mouse). RNAcentral's name for it is "predicted gene, 16638". Lineage: Eukaryota; Metazoa; Chordata; Mammalia; Rodentia; Muridae. The record is from RNAcentral.
CUUCUCCGCCACUGCAGGCUUUGGGCAGAGGCAGGAACCAGCUAGCUUAAGGAGUUUGGAUGUUUACCCCUUGGUGCUGAGGUGCUUUCGGCCCCCAGUGAAACCGUGCAAACAACUUCGUAGUGGGAUUCUGCAGGGUGGCCCGGAGAAUGUGGAGGAGCCGGCCGGAGGUGGAGGUAGGCAGGAGGGGUACACACCAGUGUCAGUUCAGGAGGCCUGCACAGGAAUGUCUGCUUCUGAUAACAGAAACCGAAGCGAUUCCCAAUUUUAUUUUAUUUUAUUUUUCCCCCUUGAGUAGCUAAAUGCCUUUUCUGAGUAAAGGAAGAGACAACUUCGAAUGGGUGGAGGAAGAAGCUGAAACCAAUGUCAGAUCUAUUUAGUUCUAGACACCCAGGGAGCUCUUGAUAGAUAUACAUAUCCAGCAGACAGCACUAUGCAUUGACGCCAGGUGGAGACCUCAGCUUUCCCUUGAGAGAUAUAAUCCAGAUUCUGGACAUGGAAGCAGGAAGACCACUCAUUAAAGGUCUGCCUGGGAAAUUUAAUGAGGCCAGCAGCUCAAAAUAAAAGAAGUAGAAAGAGGGCUAGUGACAUAGUGCAAUAGUAGCAUGCUCACCCAGCAUGUGCCCUAUCCCAGCAUCAUUAAAUAGGCAAAUAAAUAAGCAGACUAUUGGCAACUUCUGAACACAGAGGCAACCAGGCCCGUGGGAGAGUGUGGACUGGUAUCCCCUCUGUAAGAGCAGCCCAGGUUCUCUCCUCUUCAAGCCUAUUUCCAACUGAUUGUUUGUAACCUCUCCAUUAUUUCCUCCAAAGACAAGGAAGGAUGUGACUUGAAAGUCCCCUUUGGAAGAAAAGAGGGGCUGGCUGGCUGGGAAAGCAAUUGGGCACCUGGAGCUCCAGUCCCAAUAUUGACUAUGUAGGUUUGGGCAGGACUCUAAACAUCUUUGAGAUUUUCACAGACGUGAAAUGUUAUAAUAACAUGUAUCUCCCUGGGCUACUGUGAAGAGUCCAUGAAGAAGAGCAUGUGAAUUCUUCUGAGAGUCAUAAAAUAGAUGGUUCACUCUGCCGUACUUUAAAGAAGAUAUUUACUGGCUCCGGAGCGGAACCAAUCAUUCUCAGAGUGGUGUGACAUUUAGAGAGUGUCAUGAGGUGUCACAGGAGAUGGCUUGGAGAAGCCAGUACAGCCUUCCUAGUGUAACAGUGAGGGCAGCAGGUUAUAGCACCUGCCUCUCCCUCAGGCUUUGAACCUCCCACCUUGAUCCUGGGACAACUCUCACCUCGGGAAGGACAACAAAGGCACCGGUCAUCACUGUGAGCACUAUGUUAAUCCCAAAUAGCCACCUCAGGAAGAUGAAGUAGGAGGCCACACCAGACCCGAAGUGACCUACGGAAAGACAACGGAGAGUGGCUCUGCUCAACCCUCACAGCACAGAGAGCCUUCUCACUCACCUUCAGCAGCAGCAAACACAGGAAGAGUGAUGUCAUAUGGUGCCCCCCACCCCCACUGUUGGCUGCUUAGCUGGGUCAGCAUCCUGUGCCUGGUCCCUGGUUCUGUAUACAGCUCUGGUUGACUCAAACACUGACAACCUUCCCAGUGCUGUACCCAUUUGAAUAUGCUGAGUCAAACUUACUAACUCAUGGGUUAAGAGACUUUCAUAUUCUGUAAUAUGCUGCAUUACUUUGCAUAUUCCAAGGUUUUUCUAAGGUCCUUUGCCUUAAUUUCAACAUGGAAACUAUUGUGGUGUUUACUGGUGUAGUCAGAUAAAGGGUAUGUAGAAACUCUGUAAUGUUCUGUAUUCACACACUUCCUCUCAGCUUAAAGGGAAGAGAGCAUUUAACUCCACUGAAAUAUCAGAAAUGAUUUUUCUAA